RNAcentral lists this small nuclear RNA (107 nucleotides) under Castor canadensis (American beaver). The record is from RNAcentral. Lineage: Eukaryota; Metazoa; Chordata; Mammalia; Rodentia; Castoridae.
UUGCUCAUUUUGGCAGCACAUAUACUAAAACUAGAACAAUAUAGAGAAGAUUAGCAUGGCCCCUGCACAAGGAUGACAUGCAAAUCCGUGAAGCAUUCCAUAUUUAA